UAACGCGAAGAACCUUACCUGGGUUUGACAUAUGCCGGAAAGCUGCAGAGAUGCAGUCCCCGCAAGGUCGGUAUACAGGUGGUGCAUGGCUGUCGUCAGCUCGUGUCGUGAGAUGUUGGGUUAAGUCCCGCAACGAGCGCAACCCUCGUUCCAUGUUGCCAGCGCGUAAUGGCGGGGACUCAUGGGAGACUGCCGGGGUCAACUCGGAGGAAGGUGGGGAUGACGUCAAAUCAUCAUGCCCCUUAUGUCUUGGGCUUCACGCAUGCUACAAUGGCCGGUACAAAGGGCGGCGAUACCGUAAGGUGGAGCGAAUCCCAAAAAACCGGUCUCAGUUCGGAUUGGGGUCUGCAACUCGACCCCAUGAAGUCGGAGUCGCUAGUAAUCGCAGAUCAGCAACGCUGCGGUGAAUACGUUCCCGGGUCUUGUACACACCGA
This 435-nucleotide ribosomal RNA is filed under the name uncultured bacterium. RNAcentral describes it as "bacterial SSU rRNA". It matches the Rfam family "Bacterial small subunit ribosomal RNA", at positions 957 to 1393 of the family's 1533-position model. The record is from RNAcentral.